AGAGUUGAUAUGGCUCAGGACGAACGCUGGCGGCGUGCCUAACACAUGCAAGUCGAGCGAGGAGAUCCUUCGGGAUGAUCCUAGCGGCGGACGGGUGAGUAACACGUGGGCAACCUGCCUCAUAGAGAGGAAUAGCCUUCCGAAAGGGAGAUUAAUACCUCAUAACAUUGCAGUUUCGCAUGGAACAGCAAUUAAAGGAGUAAUCCGCUAUGAGAUGGGCCCGCGGCGCAUUAGCUAGUUGGUGAGGUAACGGCUCACCAAGGCGACGAUGCGUAGCCGACCUGAGAGGGUGAUCGGCCACAUUGGGACUGAGACACGGCCCAGACUCCUACGGGAGGCAGCAGUGGGGAAUAUUGCACAAUGGGGGAAACCCUGAUGCAAGCAACGCCGCGUGAGUGAUGACGGCCUUCGGGUUGUAAAGCUCUGUCUUCAGGGACGAUAAUGACGGUACCUGAGGAGGAAGCCACGGCUAACUACGUGCCAGCCGCUGC
Molecule: ribosomal RNA, 491 nt
Filed under: uncultured bacterium
Lineage: Bacteria
Description: bacterial SSU rRNA
Rfam family: Bacterial small subunit ribosomal RNA
Source: RNAcentral